RNAcentral lists this ribosomal RNA (253 nucleotides) under uncultured bacterium. RNAcentral describes it as "partial 16S ribosomal RNA". It matches the Rfam family "Bacterial small subunit ribosomal RNA", at positions 524 to 776 of the family's 1533-position model. The record is from RNAcentral.
UACGUAGGGUGCAAGCGUUAAUCGGAAUUACUGGGCGUAAAGCGUGCGUAGGCGGUUCUCCAAGUCCGUUGUGAAAGCCCCGGGCUCAACCUGGGAAUGGCAGUGGAAACUAGGGGACUGGAAUCUGGCAGAGGGGGGUGGAAUGCCGCGUGUAGCAGUGAAAUGCGUAGAGAUGCGGCGGAACACCGAUGGCGAAGGCAGCCCCCUGGGCUGAGAUUGACGCUCAGGCACGAAAGCGUGGGGAGCAAACAGG